Long non-coding RNA from Capsicum annuum, 752 nucleotides. RefSeq lists it as uncharacterized. The record is from RefSeq and is a predicted model, not a curated record. NCBI's taxonomy places the organism in Eukaryota, Viridiplantae, Streptophyta, Magnoliopsida, Solanales, Solanaceae. The transcript has 3 exons.
UGAUUUGUUGUUUUUGUUGGUUGAAUUUUUUCGAAGAUAACUGAUAUUUUGAAGAAAAAAGUGGUUGAAAAAAGUUUCUUCUCCAAAAGACGAACAAAUUAAAAAAAAUAUGAGAAGAAAAGAAAAGCAAAAGAAAUUGAAAAGUCAAACAAUGUUGAUGACGAUGUUGAAAACUCUUUGUGCUAAUGAAUCUGAAGAAGAUAUGGAGGAAGAGUUGUUCUGGCUGAGAUACAAAAAUUAGCUGAGAUUAUCUCAUUGUGUCUCAAGAUUGUAAUUUCUACGAAAAGAAAGGGACUGUGGUCUGUAUAUGGUAACAUACGUAGAGUGUCUUUCUUAUGGUAAAAGAGUUCCUUUGAUUAAGUUCAACCCCAACACACUUCGUACAUGUUAUGCUGCACUAUUGUAGGACUAUAUAUGGCAUGAGAAAACAAGAAGCAAAUGCUCAUAGCGAUGUCGAAGCACCCUUGAGGCCUGACAGGGAAAACCGAAUAACUAGUGUCACUAAAGUUUUAGAAAUAUGAUGAUUGUUGAAUUUAUUACAUUGGAUAGUCGACAAACUGCUGUAUGGAUGUUGUUUUUUUUUUUUUUGUACAAACUUAUUUCAUGUUUUGAAGUGUUUAAAUGUUACUUAUUUUGAAGUGAAUGAAAGUAAUUCAUUUCUUUUGUAUAAGUUGAAUAUGUUUUCAACAAUUUUGUACUAUGUGUUUUACUCUAGUGUUCAAUAAUAUUGGUUGCAGUGCGAUUGACCUCUG